GAUGAACGCUAGCGGCAGGCUUAACACAUGCAAGUCGAGGGGCAACGCGAUGUAGCAAUACAUUGGCGGCGACCGGCGCACGGGUGCGUAACACGUAUGGAACUUACCCUUUACUGGGAGAUAGCCCGGAGAAAUCCGGAUUAAUAUCCCAUAAUAAACGAAGUGGCAUCACUUUGUUUUGAAAGCUCCGGCGGUAAAGGAUGGCCAUGCGCACGAUUAGCUAGUAGGUGAGGUAACGGCUCACCUAGGCUACGAUCGUUAGGGGGCCUGAGAGGGUUAUCCCCCACACUGGUACUGAGACACGGACCAGACUCCUACGGGAGGCAGCAGUGAGGAAUAUUGCGCAAUGGAGGCAACUCUGACGCAGCCACUGCCGCGUGCAGGAAGAAGGCGCUACGCGUUGUAAACUGCUUUUAACCGGGAAGAAACCCUCCGACGUGUCGGAGGUUGACGGUACCGGAGGAAUAAGCACCGGCUAACUUCGUGCCAGCAGCCGCGGU
Molecule: ribosomal RNA, 500 nt
Filed under: uncultured bacterium
Lineage: Bacteria
Description: bacterial SSU rRNA
Rfam family: Bacterial small subunit ribosomal RNA
Source: RNAcentral